AUGAACGCUGGCGGCGUGCCUUAUACAUGCCAGUCGAGCGAACAGACGAGGAGCUUGCUCCUCUGACGUUAGCGGCGGACGGGUGAGUAACACGUGGAUAACCUACCUAUAAGACUGGGAUAACUUCGGGAAACCGGAGCUAAUACCGGAUAGUAUAUUGAACCGCAUGGUUCAAUAGUGAAAGACGGUUUUGCUGUCACUUAUAGAUGGAUCCGCGCCGCAUUAGCUAGUUGGUAAGGUAACGGCUUACCAAGGCAACGAUGCGUAGCCGACCUGAGAGGGUGAUCGGCCACACUGGAACUGAGACACGGUCCAGACUCCUACGGGAGGCAGCAGUAGGGAAUCUUCCGCAAUGGGCGAAAGCCUGACGGAGCAACGCCGCGUGAGUGAUGAAGGUCUUCGGAUCGUAAAACUCUGUUAUUAGGGAAGAACAAAUGUGUAAGUAACUAUGCACGUCUUGACGGUACCUAAUCAGAAAGCCACGGCUAACUACGUG
This 496-nucleotide ribosomal RNA is filed under the name uncultured bacterium. RNAcentral's name for it is "partial 16S ribosomal RNA". It matches the Rfam family "Bacterial small subunit ribosomal RNA", at positions 29 to 507 of the family's 1533-position model. The record is from RNAcentral.